CCUACGGGUGGCAGCAGUGGGGAAUAUUGCACAAUGGGCGCAAGCCUGAUGCAGCCAUGCUGCGUGUGUGAAGAAGGCCUUCGGGUUGUAAAGCACUUUCAGCGGGGAGGAAGGCGUUAAGGUUAAUAACCUUGGCGAUUGACGUUACCCGCAGAAGAAGCACCGGCUAACUCCGUGCCAGCAGCCGCGGUAAUACGGAGGGUGCAAGCGUUAAUCGGAAUUACUGGGCGUAAAGCGCACGCAGGCGGUCUGUCAAGUCGGAUGUGAAAUCCCCGGGCUCAACCUGGGAACUGCAUUCGAAACUGGCAGGCUAGAGUCUUGUAGAGGGGGGUAGAAUUCCAGGUGUAGCGGUGAAAUGCGUAGAGAUCUGGAGGAAUACCGGUGGCGAAGGCGGCCCCCUGGACAAAGACUGACGCUCAGGUGCGAAAGCGUGGGGAGCAAACAGGAUUAGAUACCCUUGUAGUC
Molecule: ribosomal RNA, 465 nt
Filed under: uncultured Klebsiella sp.
Lineage: Bacteria; Pseudomonadati; Pseudomonadota; Gammaproteobacteria; Enterobacterales; Enterobacteriaceae
Description: bacterial SSU rRNA
Rfam family: Bacterial small subunit ribosomal RNA
Source: RNAcentral